This 60-nucleotide ribosomal RNA is filed under the name Lembophyllum divulsum. RNAcentral describes it as "partial 25S ribosomal RNA". Lineage: Eukaryota; Viridiplantae; Streptophyta; Bryopsida; Hypnales; Lembophyllaceae. The record is from RNAcentral. RNAcentral also lists the same sequence under 2 other names.
CAGACCUCUAAUCGGAAAAGACUACCCGCUGAGUUUAAGCAUAUCAAUAAGCGGGAGGAA